RNAcentral lists this long non-coding RNA (1196 nucleotides) under Homo sapiens (human). RNAcentral describes it as "HSALNT0277425". The record is from RNAcentral. Lineage: Eukaryota; Metazoa; Chordata; Mammalia; Primates; Hominidae.
CUUCUGCUCUGUCCAACUGGCUUCUACCGGUAGGUGACAGGGCAGUGUUCCCAGCAGUGGGACAAGAGGCACUGGCACCAGGCCAUGAGCCAUGCAUUCCUAGCUCUGCAGGGCAUGCAUGCCACGCGGACUGUGACAGUGAGCUCUUCCAGGCCCCCAGUGAGCCUGAGAGGGGGUCUGGGAAGAGUCAAGAGACACCCAGACAGUGCCAUGUGGCAGUGAAGCCUCUGGUCCCAAUCUGCCAGGGUGCAAAGCCCCAGGACUGCUGGUGGGAUGUUGGCACUACCCCGUUUUCCUUUUCCAGCUACAACAGAAUGGCAGAGAGGAAAGGACCCUCCGGGAUCUUCCAGUUCAGCCAGCCCAUUUUACAGAGGUGGAGACUGAGGCCAGAGGUAGGGAAUGGCCCCUAUCUUGCAGAGGUGAAAGGGGUCCAGGGAGCGAACUUGGGGGAAGGUCCUGGGCUGCUCGGUCUGUUCUAGUGUCUAGCACUGGGCAUCCUGGGUGAAGUCAUCCAGUCCAAACCCAUUUUCCAGGUGAGGAAACUGAGGCCUGGCAUUGCCUGAGAGAUCUGCAACCUGCACCCCAAGCUGACAGGGUGUGUGCAGGCCUGGAGCCCUCAUGAGUCCUCCUAUUCAAAGGCCCUUCCCUCCCCCUCUUGAGCGCUGUUCCUCUGUGUGUAUCCGCUGCAGACAGGGGCCAGCAGGGUCUGGGAAAGCCACAUCAGAAGCCUGCCCAGCUGGAGCGGAGGAAUGGGAGAGUGGCUUCUUGGAGGUCUUCAGCCUGGGAAAAGUCCGAGGCCUUCCUGUCCCCGCUCACCCUGUUCCUCCCAGGCAGGUCUGGUCCAGACAGCUGUGAGAAGUCCCCUGGAGGCAGCGUCCCAGUGGAGCUGGGAGGAAAGAGGGGCCCAGAAAAAGGAAUUUGACCUCUGAUCUGCAGCCAGUUGGUAGCAUUAUUCUGGAUUAUCCUAAAUUGAGCCUGGAACCCUGGGCUUGUGUGACAGACCAAGGGGCCCCACGGGCUCUCUCUGCUCAGGCAGCUGGAGACACAGGUAGCGCCGUAACACCCAGCGACACAGGCAUGAUUCUUUUCCAUAAAACAUUCACACCACUGCCAGCCUUGAUUCUCAAAACAGCCCUGCCAAGGAGAGGCUGUUACUGUCCCAUUUUACAGAUGAAAACAUCAAGGCUCAGGGCCGG